UACGUAGGGUGCGAGCGUUGUCCGGAAUUAUUUGGCGUAAAGGGCUCGUAGGCGGUUUGUCGCGUCGGGAGUGAAAACCUCGGGCUUAACUCGGGGCUUGCUUUCGAUACGGGCAGACUAGAGGUAUGCAGGGGAGAACGGAAUUCCUGGUGUAGCGGUGAAAUGCGCAGAUAUCAGGAGGAACACCGGUGGCGAAGGCGGUUCUCUGGGCAUGAUCUGACGCUGAGGAGCGAAAGUGUGGGGAGCGAACAGG
Molecule: ribosomal RNA, 253 nt
Filed under: uncultured bacterium
Lineage: Bacteria
Description: partial 16S ribosomal RNA
Rfam family: Bacterial small subunit ribosomal RNA
Source: RNAcentral